RNAcentral lists this ribosomal RNA (478 nucleotides) under uncultured bacterium. RNAcentral describes it as "bacterial SSU rRNA". It matches the Rfam family "Bacterial small subunit ribosomal RNA", at positions 530 to 1016 of the family's 1533-position model. The record is from RNAcentral.
AGGGGCGAGGUUACCGGAUUCACUGGGCGUAAAGGGGAGCAGGCGAUCCAGUAUGUCGGGUGUGAAAUUCCACAGCUCAACUGUGAAUUGCGCCCGAAACUACUGGGUUUGGGGCUGGUAGAGGGAGACGGAACUGCUGGAGUAGGGGUGAAAUCCGUAGAUAUCAGCAGGAACGCCGGUGGGGAAGCCGGUCUCCUGGGCCAAGCCCGACGCUGAGGCCCGAAAGCUAGGGGAGCAAACCGGAUUAGAUACCCGGGUAGUCCUAGCCGUAAACGAUGCCCACUAGGUGUGGGGGAGUCAUUCCUCCGUGCUGUAGCUAACGCGUUAAGUGGGCCGCCUGGGGAGUACGCCCGCAAGGUGAAACUCAAAGGAAUUGGCGGGACCCGCACAAGCGUGGAGCGUGUGGUUAAUUGGAUGCUAAGCCAGAACCUUACCARGGCUUGACAUGCAGGUGGUACAACCCCGAAAGGGAAGGGAC